CCCAAUUCCUUAUCCCUGACCCAUCCACUGACCUCCCACCUGACCCUCUGACCCCUGACCCAGAUAUUUGACCCUGAGCUAUAACCUCCUAAGCCUUCUACAGCCUGACCUGUAACCCAAGGCCAUUCAACCUGAUCAUGUGACUACUAUGCAAACACACCCUAACCCCAGAAUCUAACCCCUGACCCUUGACCUGGAGACAUGAUUGUUGAACUCCCAGAGACCCUAACUGCAAAUACUCAGCUGCUGAUCCCAGAUCUGACUCCCUUCUCCCGCCCCAACACUUCAUGGCCCCAUCUUCUUCCCUUUUAGGGGUGACCACGGACUCACCGGUGAGUGAGGAGAGGUCAGUGCAGCAGAGCCACCCAACUGCCACCACGACUCCUGCCCGGCCCUACCCCGAGCUGAUCUCCCGUCCCUCGCCCCCGACCAUGCGCUGGUUCCUGCCGGACUUGCCUCCUUCCCGCAGCGCCGUAGAGAUCGCUCCCACUCAGGUCACAGAGACUGAUGAGUGCCGACUGAACCAGA
RNAcentral lists this long non-coding RNA (528 nucleotides) under Homo sapiens (human). RNAcentral describes it as "non-protein coding lnc-KCNK7-5:1". The record is from RNAcentral. Lineage: Eukaryota; Metazoa; Chordata; Mammalia; Primates; Hominidae.